AGCCCGUGGGAUAUGUGUUUGUUGGCUAAUAAAAAACUCACAUUGCCCUCAGAGCAUAAUUUAGACACCAAUUAUGGUGAAAGACAAUGUGACCUAUCGACGAUGACAAGUUAUCCGACGACCCCAAGAAUUUGAGCUGGGUUAAGAGAUACCCAUCAAUUUCGCUAGCAAUUGGAUGUGAACUCAAAAUGGCAGAAACUUUCCCAUAGAAGCCAGGUUAACUUUGAUUGGUCAGCUCCCUUGGCUUAGAAUACUUGGCUUGCAGAAACAAAUGAUGCGUCGGACUAUCCCACUUCAACAGCAGUAGAGUUCUUCGCUACGCUUUAGUUAUACUUGAAAGAUUGUGCUAUAAGCGAAUAAAUGAC
Drosophila innubila is the source of this 365-nucleotide long non-coding RNA. RefSeq lists it as uncharacterized. The record is from RefSeq and is a predicted model, not a curated record. The transcript has 4 exons. NCBI's taxonomy places the organism in Eukaryota, Metazoa, Arthropoda, Insecta, Diptera, Drosophilidae.